RNAcentral lists this transfer RNA (72 nucleotides) under Rhipicephalus sanguineus (brown dog tick). Its description in RNAcentral is "transfer RNA threonine (anticodon CGU)". It matches the Rfam family "tRNA". Rfam says of the family: Transfer RNA (tRNA) molecules are approximately 80 nucleotides in length. Their secondary structure includes four short double-helical elements and three loops (D, anti-codon, and T loops). Further hydrogen bonds mediate the characteristic L-shaped molecular structure. tRNAs have two regions of fundamental functional importance: the anti-codon, which is responsible for specific mRNA codon recognition, and the 3' end, to which the tRNAs corresponding amino acid is attached (by aminoacyl-tRNA synthetases). tRNAs cope with the degeneracy of the genetic code in two manners: having more than one tRNA (with a specific anti-codon) for a particular amino acid; and 'wobble' base-pairing, i.e. permitting non-standard base-pairing at the 3rd anti-codon position. Lineage: Eukaryota; Metazoa; Arthropoda; Arachnida; Ixodida; Ixodidae. The record is from Rfam by way of RNAcentral.
GCCGCCGUAGCUCAGUGGUAGAGCAUCGGACUCGUUAUUCGAAGGUCGCAGGUUCGGUCCCUGUCGGCGGCA